Molecule: long non-coding RNA, 579 nt
Organism: Prunus persica (peach)
Lineage: Eukaryota; Viridiplantae; Streptophyta; Magnoliopsida; Rosales; Rosaceae
Exons: 3
Source: RefSeq, a predicted model, not a curated record
CUCCCGAUUCUCUCUCUCUCUCCCGCGUCCCUCUUCCUCCUUCUCCGAUUUGCAGACGCGGAGCAGCCGCCACAGACCACGGCCAGCCCCGAGACCGGACCCAAAACGACCGGCCAGACCUCGCCGACGUCCCCCGACCCAUCUCCAGCCGUCAGCCGCCGCCUCGUCGCCGGAAAACCCGAAUUUCAGGCCGAUCCUUGUCUGAGCUUCCAGUCGAUCGUUCUCUCUCCUCCGAGCACUAUUUCAGACGGGUGAGGUAUCUCGACUGCACGCACGCAGCAAGCAGGACCUUCACGUGGUCAGGCAGCGAGGGAAUACUUCCAGUAGUUGCUCCUGGAAGUACAAGUGGUGUCUGCAGCGGAGUCAGUGCAUCUUUAUAAUUAAGAACUGUGUAAAUUCUUAUACUUGACUGUUCUUGUAAUCUAAAUUCAGUAGAUGCUCUGUAUGCCAUGGUAGAUUUUACUUGUGAGGCCGGAGGCCACUCUAGUAUGACUUGUGUGUGUAUGAAAGCAUGCUGCUGGUUGGGAUUAGUAUUACUGUGUGUUGCAGGUUGAAUAAAUUUUGUUGGGAUUGCUUAAA